GGGGGCGAACAGGGUUCGACGUUUCUACUGGACUCCGAAGCGCAUGCCAAGAUUGUGGUAAUUCUUGUAAAACAUACUACAAAAAAUUUAGUUGCAAAUAACGACAACUACGCUUUAGCAGCUUAAUGCUAACCGAUACCAGAAUUGACUAUGGUUUGAAGUAUCGGCAAAUAUCAUAGUCUAGCCAAGCUG
Molecule: transfer-messenger RNA, 192 nt
Filed under: Gammaproteobacteria bacterium
Lineage: Bacteria; Pseudomonadati; Pseudomonadota; Gammaproteobacteria
Description: partial transfer-messenger RNA
Rfam family: transfer-messenger RNA
About the family: Bacterial tmRNA, also known as 10Sa RNA or SsrA, is named for its dual tRNA and mRNA-like properties.
Source: RNAcentral